Molecule: small RNA, 96 nt
Filed under: Otolemur garnettii (small-eared galago)
Lineage: Eukaryota; Metazoa; Chordata; Mammalia; Primates; Galagidae
Description: Y RNA (ENSOGAG00000023685.1)
Source: RNAcentral
AGCCUGGCUCAGGGUAGCAGGUUAUCAGAACUUAUUACCAUUAGUGUCUCUGAAGUUGGUACACACACCGCCACUGGUAAAUUUGACUGGCUUUAC